AAAUUGAAGAGUUUGAUCAUGGCUCAGAUUGAACGCUGGCGGCAGGCCUAACACAUGCAAGUCGAGCGGUAGCACAGAGAGCUUGCUCUCGGGUGACGAGCGGCGGACGGGUGAGUAAUGUCUGGGAAACUGCCUGAUGGAGGGGGAUAACUACUGGAAACGGUAGCUAAUACCGCAUAAUGUCGCAAGACCAAAGUGGGGGACCUUCGGGCCUCAUGCCAUCAGAUGUGCCCAGAUGGGAUUAGCUAGUAGGUGGGGUAACGGCUCACCUAGGCGACGAUCCCUAGCUGGUCUGAGAGGAUGACCAGCCACACUGGAACUGAGACACGGUCCAGACUCCUACGGGAGGCAGCAGUGGGGAAUAUUGCACAAUGGGCGCAAGCCUGAUGCAGCCAUGCCGCGUGUGUGAAGAAGGCCUUCGGGUUGUAAAGCACUUUCAGCGGGGAGGAAGGCGUUAAGGUUAAUAACCUUAGUCGAUUGACGUUACCCGCAGAAGAAGCACCGGCUAACUCCGUGCCAGCAGCCGCGGUAAUACGGAGGGUGCAAGCGUUAAUCGGAAUUACUGGGCGUAAAGCGCACGCAGGCGGUCUGUCAAGUCGGAUGUGAAAUCCCCGGGCUUAACCUGGGAACUGCAUUCGAAACUGGCAGGCUAGAGUCUUGUAGAGGGGGGUAGAAUUCCAGGUGUAGCGGUGAAAUGCGUAGAGAUCUGGAGGAAUACCGGUGGCGAAGGCGGCCCCCUGGACAAAGACUGACGCUCAGGUGCGAAAGCGUGGGGAGCAAACAGGAUUAGAUACCCUGGUAGUCCACGCCGUAAACGAUGUCGAUUUGGAGGUUGUGCCCUUGAGGCGUGGCUUCCGGAGCUAACGCGUUAAAUCGACCGCCUGGGGAGUACGGCCGCAAGGUUAAAACUCAAAUGAAUUGACGGGGGCCCGCACAAGCGGUGGAGCAUGUGGUUUAAUUCGAUGCAACGCGAAGAACCUUACCUGGUCUUGACAUCCACAGAACUUUCCAGAGAUGGAUUGGUGCCUUCGGGAACUGUGAGACAGGUGCUGCAUGGCUGUCGUCAGCUCGUGUUGUGAAAUGUUGGGUUAAGUCCCGCAACGAGCGCAACCCUUAUCCUUUGUUGCCAGCGGUCCGGCCGGGAACUCAAAGGAGACUGCCAGUGAUAAACUGGAGGAAGGUGGGGAUGACGUCAAGUCAUCAUGGCCCUUACGACCAGGGCUACACACGUGCUACAAUGGCAUAUACAAAGAGAAGCGACCUCGCGAGAGCAAGCGGACCUCAUAAAGUAUGUCGUAGUCCGGAUUGGAGUCUGCAACUCGACUCCAUGAAGUCGGAAUCGCUAGUAAUCGUAGAUCAGAAUGCUACGGUGAAUACGUUCCCGGGCCUUGUACACACCGCCCGUCACACCAUGGGAGUGGGUUGCAAAAGAAGUAGGUAGCUUAACCUUCGGGAGGGCGCUUACCACUUUGUGAUUCAUGACUGGGGUGAAGUCGUAACAAGGUAACCGUAGGGGAACCUGCGGUUGGAUCACCUCCUUA
This 1541-nucleotide ribosomal RNA is filed under the name Klebsiella pneumoniae. RNAcentral describes it as "bacterial SSU rRNA". It matches the Rfam family "Bacterial small subunit ribosomal RNA". The record is from RNAcentral. Lineage: Bacteria; Pseudomonadati; Pseudomonadota; Gammaproteobacteria; Enterobacterales; Enterobacteriaceae.